GCGAUCUUGGCCGGUGAUCAGCUGCAUGGUCCAAUGGUGCAGCUCGGCAGUCACCGCAUCCAAACAAGAAUACUUUUGAGUGGCGGCCUGACUCUUCAGAUCCAUCACUAUUAAACUUUCCUCCUGACUCAGGGUAAUGUGCCUCGGAAGCAAGGGCCCCUGGUACCACCAGCUACGAGGAAAGUCCUCAAAGCAGCUCGGAUCUUUACUCCUCAGAAUGAAGAACCGGUUCUUCCAAUUCUUCAAUGAAGAAGGGAGAUCGGUAAAAAGAGAACAGUUAGGCUUAGCUUAAAAGAACCAGAACUCAUCAUCCUUCCUUCGGACGAGCCUAUGUAGUUCGGCAAAAACUUUAGCCGUGGGUUCCAGUCCCUUAGCUCGGCAGAGGCCCCGAAAAGCUAUUAGAGUCCGCUAGGAAUUCGAAUGCACUUGAGCUACCGACACGUGUUGAAACUUUAGGACGGCCUUGUAAAAUUCGUCAAAAGGGAAACGGAGCCCGGCCUUCAGCUGCUCUUCAUACAUCAUUAUGAGAUCGCUCUCAUCGAAGAAGUGAUCAGCCCGAUGAUCGCCAUGGCAUUUGAUCAGUUCAAAGGAGCCGAUCCGCAGAUUGUACUUCUGACUUAUAGGUUGAAGAUCGGUUUCCCUCAAGACCGAAGGCAAUUCAUCCACUGGCAGGUUUUCUCUUCUGGAAGAUGCCCCUCGCCUCGGUCUAGCAGCCGGACCAGUUACCGGAACGAGGGCCGUGCUGGCUUGACCACCUGAUCUAAUUACAUCGCCCUCUUCCGAGGUCCACGAAACAUGGACAGAAGGCGGGUUCGCAGCUCUCUGACCCUCGGCGCCGCUC
This 841-nucleotide unclassified non-coding RNA is filed under the name Hevea brasiliensis (rubber tree). The record is from RNAcentral. Lineage: Eukaryota; Viridiplantae; Streptophyta; Magnoliopsida; Malpighiales; Euphorbiaceae.